GCACAUGGGAGAAAUGUUUCAUACAUGCUAGACUGCAAGACAACAACAAAUGAGGAGGAGGACAGACGAGAUUCUGGGAUUAAGUGCACACUACACUCAUGCUCUGGGAAAAGACGGCUUAAAGAUUCAAAACGUGACAGCCACACCAGAGACACACAUGUGGUGUUAAAAUAUCAGGAUCCCAUUGUGCCAUUCUUGGUACAGCACACAGAUUCAAGAAGCCAACAUGUUCAAUACAACACAUGGGCCUCCCUUGUGCCCACAAUGCCUCAGGGUAUUCUGGGCUCCAGGACUGAAUACAGAAAUGAAGAUAAAUAAAUAAAUAAAUAA
RNAcentral lists this long non-coding RNA (330 nucleotides) under Rattus norvegicus (Norway rat). RNAcentral's name for it is "long non-coding RNA NONRATT012944". The record is from RNAcentral. Lineage: Eukaryota; Metazoa; Chordata; Mammalia; Rodentia; Muridae.